This is a non-coding RNA of Podarcis lilfordi (Lilford's wall lizard), 5040 nucleotides long. The record is from the annotation of a GenBank genome assembly. NCBI's taxonomy places the organism in Eukaryota, Metazoa, Chordata, Lepidosauria, Squamata, Lacertidae.
CACCAGAACAAAUUAAGUUCUUAAUCCGAGGUACCACUGUAGUGCGCAUCAUGAACAAACAAGUGGUUUUCAGAAGUCAUUUGCAAAGGAUGUGUGGAACCUGGUUGCAACCAUAGACAAGAUAGGGAGUCCGCAGCUGAAUGACAGUGAUGAUCUCUUUUUAAAGAGACACAGGAGUGAUUGGCAGUGCUAAAAGCAGAUUGUCCCUUCCAAUGUAUGCCAUUUGCCUGUCAUGCUUUGGUUGUGUACUAUGUAUAAUUUAACACCAGAGGAUAAAUCACUUGCAUUUUGUAUGGGUGAUAAUUUGCUUUCAAAAUGUUUUGCUUUUAUACAGCACCUCAAGCUUCUUGAAAAUCACUCAUAUUGGCGACUUCAUAAUAAGUACUGUCUAACCUUUUCUGUUAACCUGUGACACUUAACGUGACGGGAAUAGCUAUAUAGCAAAUUGAAUAUUAAUCCACAGCACAAAGCCAUUCUGUUUCACCACUCUGGCCAAGGUCAGUCCGAGAGAGCUGUCAAAAAGGUUAGCUAGCAUGGAACCGUGGACUGUUUCAUGCUGUCAUUACUAAUGCACAUUCUUUGAUAAAUGAAUGACUUCAAGUUUCUAAUAUAAAUCCGGUAGCUUUGCAUAGUGCAUUGAGGGCAAGGGUGCCCAAGCAUGUCCAUGAUGGUUGUGUGAUCUUUCUGGGCAGCAUCUACUUUUGGAGUUAGAUUGUACUUAUGAAAAUCUUCGUAAAUGCAAGUAGAGUUUUUCCAGUGGGGAUGUGCCAGGCAGCUUGUCACUCUGCCCACAUGUGCCUAAGGAUAGAUAUGUUCUGGGGUGCUUACUAAUGAGUAGUUGUACAUAUGAGUAGAUGUAUCAAGUGCUUGAAGUGCUCAUUUGCAGGUAGAUACACUUGUGAGUGGGUGUGUCACAAUUCCUCACAAAAUGAAUAUACAAAAUGCACAACAAUACAUCCAACGAGGGUUAUGCUGCAGAACCCUGCAGAAGCAGCAUUGACACUAAAGAUUAAUGAACCAUUUUUGUGUAAUUAACAACAUCCAGAACAUGCUUCUAUCAGCCUUUUUUCAGCUGGCAGCUGAUCCAGCAGGUAGAUACACUCCAUUGCCUUCCCAAAUUAAAACUGCAUUUUAAAAUUCCUCAGUAGAGGGAACACGGAAGGAAGAAAUUAGCACUACGUGGAAUAUUAUUUAUUUCAUUUGCUUGUUUGCUUGUGUGCCAACCAUGUUUAUAUGGCAGAACGUUGUCUAGAUUAUAAUAGACGUUUUGGAAGUUGGCGUAUUCAAUCUUCCUUUUAUUACAUACCCAGAAAAUACAUGUUACACAAGUGGUCAUCGUUACACUUUGAGUGAGACGUGGGUGGCACUGUGGUCUAAACCACUGAGCCUCUGCGGCUUGCCGAUCAGAAGGUUGGCUGUUCAAAUCUGCACAAUGGGGUGAGCUCCUGUUGCUCUGUCCCAGCUUCUGCCAUCCUAGCAGUUCGAAAGCACACCAGUGCAAGUAGAUAAAUAGGUACCACUAUGGUGGGAAGGUAAACAGCGUUUCCGUGCCCUCUGGCUUCCAUCAUUGUGUUCCGUUGCGCCAGAAGCGGUUUAGUAAUGCUGGCCACAUGACCCGGAAAGCUGUCUGUGGACAAAAUGCCAACUCUCUUGACCUGAAAAGCGAGUUCAGCACCGCAACCCCAUAGUCGCCUUUGACUGGACUUAACUGUCCAGAAGUCCUUUACCUUUUUACCAUUACACUUCAUCUCUUACAUUCAAGUAAUUGUACUGGAACAGGCAUAUUUUAUAUUGCAGUUGGCCUAGAAAUGAAAGACACACAUUUGAGAAUGUUCUCGGGACUUAAGAGUGCUUUUCUCAUUUGCCUAUUCACGUGUUGUAUUGCUUUGGUAAUCAAGGUGUGUUCUUUAGUUAUCAUCUUGCCUUGCUAACAUGAUUUUCAUUUUUCUAACUUGGUUUUCAAUUUGUGUAUAUGCACACACAACUCCUUAACAUAGGUUAUUUAGGUAUCUGAUGGUAUUAGAGACCUUUUGCUACCUCUUGCCCUCUAGAGGUUUUGGAGUACAAUUUCCAUAAUCUCUGAGCACUGGUGAAACUAUCCAAGGGAGAAUACUUCUGUGCACAUAUGACUGUUUUGUGUAGCUUACAUUUGUUUGCAUUCAUGAGAUGGUAUUUACUGCAAUUCAAAGCAUAUCUGUUUAGAUAAAGUAUUUUAGAAAGGCAAAUGCCUCUGAAAUCCCAUCUCACAAUAAGCCUAAUAGCCUCAGAGACGCACAGCAUUCUGUGGCUAUGAUUUUUUAUAGAAAAUCAUUUUAACAUUAUCCCUGCCCCUUUAUGACCUUAGACUCUAAAGUGCUGCGAAUCUCAGAGAUUCUCUAGUUUAUUGUGACAUAAGCUCCUGCAGGUUUAUGAGCACAGAAAACAGGGAGGUACUCUUAGAGUUAAAACAGCUUUGCUGGCUGCUUGAGCCUAAAAGGAUUCUCUGGAUUGCUUUUUUAUUAUUUAUUGCUUUCUGUUAAAAAGCAGAAUUGAUUAACACUCCACACAGCAAUCAUGCACAAUUAUUCCAUCAAUCUAUACUGGAUUUUUAUAGUGGUUAGUCCCAUUGUUAUGCUUCCAUGAUAGCUUCUUUCAUUGAAAUAAUGGUUCUAGAAUGUUUGUUCUACUCUUAAGUUCUGAAAUGGAUAUUCAGGAAGUCGGGGUGGGGUGGGGUGGAAUCAUGAACAUUCUAUGUAGCAUUACAUAAAACUUCUCACUCUGGUGCAAUGGCAUCUGAAGCUGUUGGCACGCAGCUGCACAGUGUUGCAAUGACCUUUCCAAAUACUCUGUGAAUAAAAGGAGAAGAAACAUCAUUUCAGAUAACAGAUUUCACAAAUCCUCCCCCUAGGUUUCACAGAAUGAUCAGACGGUUUUAUAUAUUCAGCUAAUCUUUAUUACUUGAGUUGAAUAUCUUUCAGCUGCAGUCUUAUUUUAUUCCACGGUCAGAUAAGGAGCAGUCUUUCAGUAUUAGUCUGAACUGUUCCAGUUAUGCUGGAAGGCUAAUUAUUUAGCAUGUAGAGUGCUUUAUUUCUUUUUCUGUCUAUGUAUAAAAUCAAACAGAUGCAAAUAAACAGUAACCCCCUGCGACAGUAUUGAAUUGUUUGCCAUGCUAGAUUCUUGUGCUGGAAGCAAACACAGCAGCGUCUGGGCAGCUGCAGACAUAAUCUCGCUUGACCCUGCUUGGGUGGUCCGUAGAGCCGCCAGGCAGCAUCUCACCCUGGAGCUCCUCCACAGAUCCUUUAAAUAUACAUAUUAAAGGCAGCGGGAGCAAAUCCUUUGGCUCACCCAGGAGGGGGAUACUGAGCUGGGGUGAUCCAGAAAAGGAAGGUACAGCAUAUUGUUCCUGACAUCCUUUUGUCAAGGGCUAAGAGGAUAACAUAGCCUCCGGAAAAUGUGGCAACCUCAUCUGGUCCAUCGGUUAUUGUUAGUUUUCUAAGCAUAUGUCUCAAGCUGUGUCAUGUCAUUUAACAGAGAGCAGUUCUCUUUUCUACACUAUAUUAUUAGUAUGGCUUAAGAGCCAAUCUGUCUCCCUUUGAAUUCAAUAGAAACCUUGCCACUGGUUUUCAAUGGGGGAGAGGAUUAAGACUUAGCUGCUUAUACACAACAUACAAAUAAUAUUCAGUAGCUGAGUUAUGGUGAUAUACCUUGGUUACCAUUGAAAGAGCCUGUGAGAUUGUGGUUCCUUCGAAUCCUCUUAGUGGAGUAACAUAAUUCAGGAUUUUCAACUUUACAAUGGAAUGCAAAAAUCUGAGAAGAGAGAGCUUUUUCAGAGCUGUGGAUGGCAGCAAGGGAAUAAUAACUUUUGAUAAGUAUUAUAAAUCUUCAGUAGUGUACCAAACAUCCAGACCUUCCAAAUACUGAUUGUUCAUACCUGUCAUAUUUUCCAGGUUUGGACAGGAAGCACUCAGGUCGGCACUGUGAAAGUCCAUUUAAAAGCAUUAUCAAUGAAUGAAUAGUUAAAUGUAGGGCUGGCCCACCCAUAAGGCAAGGUGAGAUGUCUGCCUCGGGUGGCAGGAUCUACAGGGGCAGCAGAUCCCAAUGUAGAUCUUUAUUCCCCACUCCUCCUUCCUGAUUUACUCGCCCCUUUUUCACUGGCAGGGAGGGGGAUGCCAUCCUGCGACUUGCCUCAAGUGUCAAAAUGUCAUGGGCCAGCCCUGGCUAAAUGACACCUUGACUUUUUUGAUACUUCAAAUAUUCUACAACUAGUGAACACACAGCAGCAAAGUACAGCCUAUAAAAUAACCUAAUUUGAAAUUGGUGCUGCUCCAGUAUUCAGAUGAAAUGCCUUGUUGUCUCGGGGAUCAAGUUUUCUUUUACUAUCAUGUUUCCGACAUGUUUUCUACUAAUAGAAUCUUCAGUGGAUUUGUAAUAUGGUAGCAUGUUGGAACAACUUGUAUAAUAUUGAAAAGAGGUUACUAAUGUCCAAUUCUGAGGCCUGAUCCAGCCCCUCACCCCCCGCAAUUUUGUCUGCCCCCUCCUCCAAGAUGCAAAUGGUUUUGGUGGCAGUGACAAAAAGAGCAAACUUUUCUGUUUUCAGUUAUUUUGUUCAUAACCGAAUUCCCAUGCAUGUGUAGACACACAAACAAAGGUGGAUUGUCACAAGCUGUUUCUUAGCCUCAGUGCAAAUAGGCAAGGGGCUAGAGUGGUACCUCAGGUUACAUACGCUUCAGGUUACAGACUCUGCUAACCCAGAAAUAGUGCUUCAGGUUAAGAACUUUGCUUCAGGAUGAGGACAGAAAUCGUGCUCUGGCGGUACUGCAGCAGCAGGAGGCCCCAUUAGAUAAAGUGAUGCUUCAGGCUAAGAACAGUUUCAGGUUAAGUACGGACCUCCGGAACGAAUUAAGUACUUAACCCGAGGUACCACUGUAUUUUGUCAAUGAUGUGAGUGCAGUGACUAUGGCUCACGAACAUAGUGUAUUUCUGGAGUGAGAACAGCUCACCUCUCAUUCACCUCUUCUAGAAAUACACAGAAAAUCAAGGCAGGGGCAAGAAGAAGCUUGC